GAUGAAGAACGUAGCGAAAUGCGAUACGUAAUGUGAAUUGCAAAUUCAGUGAAUCAUCGAGUCUUUGAACGCACAUUGCGCCCCCUGGUAUUCCGGGGGGCAUGCCUGUCCGAGCGUCAUUGCUGCCCUCAAGCACGGCUUGUGUGUUGGGCCCCGUCCUCCGAUUCCGGGGGACGGGCCCGAAAGGCAGCGGCGGCACCGCGUCCGGUCCUCGAGCGUAUGGGGCUUUGUCACCCGCUCUGUAGGCCCGGCCGGCGCUUGCCGAUCAACCCAAAUUUUUAUCCAGGUUGACCUCGGAUCAGGUAGGGAUACCCGCUGAACUUAAGCAUAUCAAUAGGCGGAGGA
This 345-nucleotide unclassified non-coding RNA is filed under the name soil metagenome. Its description in RNAcentral is "partial contains 5.8S ribosomal RNA, internal transcribed spacer 2, and large subunit ribosomal RNA". The stretch from base 1 to 119 matches the Rfam family "5.8S ribosomal RNA", at positions 35 to 154 of the family's 154-position model. The record is from RNAcentral.